ACUUGGCUCAUCUAUGAGUUUUCAAUUGCUGCCAUAACAACUAAUCAUAAAUGUAGUGGCUUAAAACAAUACCCGGUUACUAUCCACAGUUCUGUGGGCCAGAAGUUCGGGCACAAGAGAUCUCCAGCCAGGGAGCACAGGCAGAAAUCGAGGUGUUAGCUGGGCUGGGAUCUCACCUGGAAGCUCUGGGGGAGACCCCACUUUGAAGUAGAAUUCAGUUCCCUGCUGUUGAGGACUGAGAUCCCCAUUUCCUUGACACAGGGGCCCUUCGUCUUCAAGCCAACAGCAGCAUCUCACAUCUCUGACGUGCCCUCCUGCUGCCAGCCAGAGAAACAUCUCUGCUUUUCAGGGUUUAUGUGAUUACAUUAGGCCUCUCCAACAAUGCAGGGCAAUCUCCCUAUUUUAAGGUCAGCUGAUCAGUAACCUUCAUUACAUCUGCAAAGCCCCUUGUGCUACGUGACAUAACAUAUUCACAGGAGCAACAUCGGGGGUCAAAUCUUGCAGACUACAGCUCAUUUGAUUGCAAGUGCUAUAAAUCUCCCCCAAUUAGUUUAAACUAAAGGGAAUUUACUGGCUGAGAAGUUCAGGGGUGACACUGCCUUCAUUAUGGAUGGAGCCACGCCUGACGGUAUCAGAUCUCAGACUCCACCUCUCAGCUCUCUGUCCUGCUGCGCGUGCCCUCAUUCUCUCCUACUGCAGACUGAUUUCCUUCAGUUCCAAUUUUGUGUGUUCCCAGAUUACUGACCCACAGAAAAAGGGAGCUUCUCUAUUCUAAUGUUCAAUCAAAGCCCUUCCCCCUGGACUUUGAAUUUAAGUAGAGUGUUCUAGUAACGGGGAAGUGGUUGGUGUUCAUUCAUUCCCGUACCAUAAUAAUUCAUUCUUGACACUGAGACCCACUAUAUCCCUAAGAACACUCUGGGUCUUAACCUUUUCUGAGUCUUACCUUCUUGACCUCCUUUAGUAGAUGCUGUGGUGCCCUACCCAUAUGUUCUUUACCAGCCAGUGUAUCUAUUACUCAUGUACAAGUUAUGUCUAGCUUAUAACGUAUAAACUAGACGCAGCCUAUACCUGCAGCUUUCUCCAGAGCAUCACCCUAGGCUGACUGGGACACCUCACUCAGAGAUGUCUGAGAGGUUUCAGUAUCCCUCACCCCAAGCCAAUGACGCAAUGCAGCCAAUGAUGCACGGAUAGGGAGGUACAAAACUCCAGUCUUCAGCCAGACCUUCCAUUGCCUGAAUCCAGCAUUGGGUGGAGCACGAAUGAACUGAAACCAAAUCAAAUCUGUGUUCUCCUUGCUCCUGACAGAUCUCCGGCAAUUAGCAUUCCAGAGUUGUUUUCAAAGAACUG
Molecule: long non-coding RNA, 1347 nt
Filed under: Equus caballus (horse)
Lineage: Eukaryota; Metazoa; Chordata; Mammalia; Perissodactyla; Equidae
Description: lncRNA (ENSECAG00000044644.1)
Source: RNAcentral